This 438-nucleotide ribosomal RNA is filed under the name uncultured Bauldia sp. RNAcentral describes it as "bacterial SSU rRNA". It matches the Rfam family "Bacterial small subunit ribosomal RNA", at positions 338 to 792 of the family's 1533-position model. Lineage: Bacteria; Pseudomonadati; Pseudomonadota; Alphaproteobacteria; Hyphomicrobiales; Kaistiaceae. The record is from RNAcentral.
CCUACGGGAGGCAGCAGUGGGGAAUAUUGGACAAUGGGCGCAAGCCUGAUCCAGCCAUGCCGCGUGAGUGAUGAAGGCCCUAGGGUUGUAAAGCUCUUUCGGCGGGGACGAUAAUGACGGUACCCGCAGAAGAAGCCCCGGCUAACUUCGUGCCAGCAGCCGCGGUAAUACGAAGGGGGCUAGCGUUGUUCGGAAUCACUGGGCGUAAAGCGCACGUAGGCGGAUCGUUAAGUCGGGGGUGAAAUCCCAGGGCUCAACCCUGGAACUGCCUUCGAUACUGGCGAUCUUCGAGUCCGGGAGAGGUGAGUGGAACUCCGAGUGUAGAGGUGAAAUUCGUAGAUAUUCGGAAGAACACCAGUGGCGAAGGCGGCUCACUGGCCCGGUACUGACGCUGAGGUGCGAAAGCGUGGGGAGCAAACAGGAUUAGAUACCCUUGUA